This 1383-nucleotide ribosomal RNA is filed under the name uncultured bacterium. RNAcentral describes it as "bacterial SSU rRNA". It matches the Rfam family "Bacterial small subunit ribosomal RNA", at positions 18 to 1396 of the family's 1533-position model. The record is from RNAcentral.
CCUGGCUCCGUAUGACGCUAGCUACAGGCUUAACACAUGCAAGUCGAGGGGCAGCAUUUCAGUUUGCUUGCAAACUGGAGAUGGCGACCGGCGCACGGGUGAGUAACACGUAUCCAACCUGCCGAUAACUCGGGGAUAGCCUUUCGAAAGAAAGAUUAAUACCCGAUGGCAUAAUUAGACCGCAUGGUCUUGUUAUUAAAGAAUUUCGGUUAUCGAUGGGGAUGCGUUCCAUUAGGCAGUUGGUGAGGUAACGGCUCACCAAACCUUCGAUGGAUAGGGGUUCUGAGAGGAAGGUCCCCCACAUUGGAACUGAGACACGGUCCAAACUCCUACGGGAGGCAGCAGUGAGGAAUAUUGGUCAAUGGGCGCAGGCCUGAACCAGCCAAGUAGCGUGAAGGAUGACUGCCCUAUGGGUUGUAAACUUCUUUUAUAUGGGAAUAAAGUUUUCCACGUGUGGAAUUUUGUAUGUACCAUAUGAAUAAGGAUCGGCUAACUCCGUGCCAGCAGCCGCGGUAAUACGGAGGAUCCGAGCGUUAUCCGGAUUUAUUGGGUUUAAAGGGAGCGUAGGUGGACAGUUAAGUCAGUUGUGAAAGUUUGCGGCUCAACCGUAAAAUUGCAGUUGAUACUGGCUGUCUUGAGUACAGUAGAGGUGGGCGGAAUUCGUGGUGUAGCGGUGAAAUGCUUAGAUAUCACGAAGAACUCCGAUUGCGAAGGCAGCUCACUGGACUGCAACUGACACUGAUGCUCGAAAGUGUGGGUAUCAAACAGGAUUAGAUACCCUGGUAGUCCACACAGUAAACGAUGAAUACUCGCUGUUUGCGAUAUACAGUAAGCGGCCAAGCGAAAGCAUUAAGUAUUCCACCUGGGGAGUACGCCGGCAACGGUGAAACUCAAAGGAAUUGACGGGGGCCCGCACAAGCGGAGGAACAUGUGGUUUAAUUCGAUGAUACGCGAGGAACCUUACCCGGGCUUAAAUUGCAUUUGAAUAUAUUGGAAACAGUAUAGCCGUAAGGCAAAUGUGAAGGUGCUGCAUGGUUGUCGUCAGCUCGUGCCGUGAGGUGUCGGCUUAAGUGCCAUAACGAGCGCAACCCUUAUCUUUAGUUACUAACAGGUCAUGCUGAGGACUCUAGAGAGACUGCCGUCGUAAGAUGUGAGGAAGGUGGGGAUGACGUCAAAUCAGCACGGCCCUUACGUCCGGGGCUACACACGUGUUACAAUGGGGGGUACAGAAGGCAGCUACCUGGUGACAGGAUGCUAAUCCCAAAAGCCUCUCUCAGUUCGGAUCGAAGUCUGCAACCCGACUUCGUGAAGCUGGAUUCGCUAGUAAUCGCGCAUCAGCCAUGGCGCGGUGAAUACGUUCCCGGGCCUUGUACACACCGCCCG